Molecule: non-coding RNA, 29 nt
Filed under: Mus musculus (house mouse)
Lineage: Eukaryota; Metazoa; Chordata; Mammalia; Rodentia; Muridae
Source: RNAcentral
UGAAUUUAGACUUCACUCGCCAUCCAAGA